RNAcentral lists this ribosomal RNA (898 nucleotides) under uncultured soil bacterium. RNAcentral describes it as "bacterial SSU rRNA". It matches the Rfam family "Bacterial small subunit ribosomal RNA", at positions 8 to 934 of the family's 1533-position model. The record is from RNAcentral.
AGAGUUUGAUCCUGGCUCAGAAUCAACGCUGGCGGCGUGCCUAACACAUGCAAGUCGAACGAGAAAGUGGAGCAAUCCAUGAGUAAAGUGGCGACCGGGUGAGUAACACGUGACUAACCUACCCUUGAGUGGGGGAUAACCUCGGGAAACCGGGGCUAAUACCGCAUAACAUCCUUGAGGUGGAAACCUUGGGGAUCAAAGGAGCAAUUCGCUUAAGGAGGGGGUCGCGGCUGAUUAGCUAGUUGGCGGGGUAAUGGCCCACCAAGGCUUUGAUCGGUAGCCGGCCUGAGAGGGCGCACGGCCACACUGGAACUGAAACACGGUCCAGACUCCUACGGGAGGCAGCAGUGGGGAAUUUUGCGCAAUGGGGGAAACCCUGACGCAGCAACGCCGCGUGGAGGAUGAAGUCCCUUGGGACGUAAACUCCUUUCGACCGGGACGAUUAUGACGGUACCGGUGGAAGAAGCCCCGGCUAACUUCGUGCCAGCAGCCGCGGUAAUACGAGGGGGGCAAGCGUUGUUCGGAAUUAUUGGGCGUAAAGGGCGCGUAGGCGGUGCGGUAAGUCACCUGUGAAAUCUCUGGGCUUUAACUCAGAGCCUGCAGGCGAAACUGCCGUGCUGGAGUAUGGGAGAGGUGCGUGGAAUUCCCGGUGUAGCGGUGAAAAUGCGUAGAUAUCGGGAGGAACACCGUGGCGAAAGCGGCGCACUGGACCAUAACUGACGCUGAGGCGCGAAAGCUAUGGGAGCAACAGGAUUAGAUACCCUGGUAGUCCUAGCCCUAAACCAUGGAGCUUGGUGUGGCGGUACCCAUCUGAUGUGCGGAGCUAAGCGUGAACAUCUCGCCUGGUAGUACGGUCGAAGGCUGAAAUCCAUGAAUGAAGGUGUCCGCUCAACUAUGG